UGGUGGUUCAGUGGUAGAAUUCUUGCCUGCCGUACAGGAGGCCUGGGUUCCAUUCCUGGCCA
Molecule: transfer RNA, 62 nt
Filed under: Acanthisitta chloris (rifleman)
Lineage: Eukaryota; Metazoa; Chordata; Aves; Passeriformes; Acanthisittidae
Rfam family: tRNA
About the family: Transfer RNA (tRNA) molecules are approximately 80 nucleotides in length. Their secondary structure includes four short double-helical elements and three loops (D, anti-codon, and T loops). Further hydrogen bonds mediate the characteristic L-shaped molecular structure. tRNAs have two regions of fundamental functional importance: the anti-codon, which is responsible for specific mRNA codon recognition, and the 3' end, to which the tRNAs corresponding amino acid is attached (by aminoacyl-tRNA synthetases). tRNAs cope with the degeneracy of the genetic code in two manners: having more than one tRNA (with a specific anti-codon) for a particular amino acid; and 'wobble' base-pairing, i.e. permitting non-standard base-pairing at the 3rd anti-codon position.
Source: Rfam by way of RNAcentral